Molecule: ribosomal RNA, 253 nt
Filed under: uncultured bacterium
Lineage: Bacteria
Description: partial 16S ribosomal RNA
Rfam family: Bacterial small subunit ribosomal RNA
Source: RNAcentral
UACGGAGGGUGCAAGCGUUAUCCGGAUUUACUGGGUUUAAAGGGUGCGUAGGUGGGUAGGUAAGUCAGUGGUGAAAUCUUCGAGCUUAACUCGGAAACUGCCAUUGAUACUAUUUAUCUUGAAUACUCUGGAGGUAAGCGGAAUAUGUCAUGUAGCGGUGAAAUGCUUAGAUAUGACAUAGAACACCAAUUGCGAAGGCAGCUUACUACAUAGUUAUUGACACUGAGGCACGAAAGCGUGGGGAGCAAACAGG